This 590-nucleotide ribosomal RNA is filed under the name Rhodococcus sp. G-81. Its description in RNAcentral is "bacterial SSU rRNA". It matches the Rfam family "Bacterial small subunit ribosomal RNA", at positions 273 to 873 of the family's 1533-position model. The record is from RNAcentral. Lineage: Bacteria; Bacillati; Actinomycetota; Actinomycetes; Mycobacteriales; Nocardiaceae.
GCGACGACGGGUAGCCGACCUGAGAGGGUGACCGGCCACACUGGGACUGAGACACGGCCCAGACUCCUACGGGAGGCAGCAGUGGGGAAUAUUGCACAAUGGGCGAAAGCCUGAUGCAGCGACGCCGCGUGAGGGAUGACGGCCUUCGGGUUGUAAACCUCUUUCAGCAGGGACGAAGCGAAAGUGACGGUACCUGCAGAAGAAGCACCGGCCAACUACGUGCCAGCAGCCGCGGUAAUACGUAGGGUGCGAGCGUUGUCCGGAAUUACUGGGCGUAAAGAGCUCGUAGGCGGUUUGUCGCGUCGUCUGUGAAAACCAGCAGCUCAACUGCUGGCUUGCAGGCGAUACGGGCAGACUUGAGUACUGCAGGGGAGACUGGAAUUCCUGGUGUAGCGGUGAAAUGCGCAGAUAUCAGGAGGAACACCGGUGGCGAAGGCGGGUCUCUGGGCAGUAACUGACGCUGAGGAGCGAAAGCGUGGGUAGCGAACAGGAUUAGAUACCCUGGUAGUCCACGCCGUAAACGGUGGGCGCUAGGUGUGGGUUUCCUUCCACGGGAUCCGUGCCGUAGCUAACGCAUUAAGCGCCCCGCC